This 477-nucleotide ribosomal RNA is filed under the name Candidatus Scalindua brodae. RNAcentral describes it as "bacterial SSU rRNA". It matches the Rfam family "Bacterial small subunit ribosomal RNA", at positions 365 to 832 of the family's 1533-position model. The record is from RNAcentral. Lineage: Bacteria; Pseudomonadati; Planctomycetota; Candidatus Brocadiia; Candidatus Brocadiales; Candidatus Scalinduaceae.
UUCGCAAUGCCCGAAAGGGUGACGAAGCGACGCCGCGUGGGUGAGGAAGACCUUCGGGUUGUAAAGCCCUGUCAGGAGUUAAGAAAUGUAGAUUCGCUAAUAUCGGGUCUAUUUGACAAAGGCUCCAAAGGAAGCCACGGCUAACUCUGUGCCAGCAGCCGCGGUAAUACAGAGGUGGCAAGCGUUGUUCGGUAUUAUUGGGCGUAAAGAGCACGUAGGUGGUUUUGUAAGUCAGAUGUGAAAGCCUUCUGUUCAAAGGAAGAACGGCAUCUGAAACUGCGGAUCUUGAGUGUAGGAGGGGAGAGUGGAACUUCUGGUGGAGCGGUGAAAUGCGUAGAUAUCAGAAGGAACGCCGGCGGCGAAAGCGAUUCUCUGGCCUAUUACUGACACUGAGUGUGCGAAAGUUAGGGGAGCAAACGGGAUUAGAUACCCCGGUAGUCCUAACCGUAAACGAUGGGCACUAAGUAGAGGGGUUUU